RNAcentral lists this ribosomal RNA (433 nucleotides) under uncultured bacterium. RNAcentral describes it as "partial 16S ribosomal RNA". It matches the Rfam family "Bacterial small subunit ribosomal RNA", at positions 29 to 507 of the family's 1533-position model. The record is from RNAcentral.
AACGAACGCUGGCGGCAUGCCUAACACAUGCAAGUCGAACGAGACCUUCGGGUCUAGUGGCGCACGGGUGCGUAACGCGUGGGAAUCUGCCCUUCGGUUGGGAAUAACUGAGAGAAAUUUCAGCUAAUACCUUAUAAUGUCUUCGGACCAAAGAUUUAUCGCCGAGGGAUGAGCCCGCGUAGGAUUAGGUAGUUGGUGGGGUAAUGGCCUACCAAGCCGACGAUCCUUAGCUGGUCUGAGAGGAUGAUCAGCCACACUGGGACUGAGACACGGCCCAGACUCCUACGGGAGGCAGCAGUGGGGAAUAUUGGACGAUGGGCGAAAGCCUGAUCCAGCAAUGCCGCGUGAGUGAUGAAGGCCUUAGGGUUGUAAAGCUCUUUUACCCGGGAUGAUAAUGACAGUACCGGGAGAAUAAGCUCCGGCUAACUCCGUG